AGAAAAUAUCGUGUACUCAGCAUGCACUUCAGGAUUUCAUUUCCUUCCGCAAAGGUUGUGAAGGAUGUAGUCAACAAGAUUUGCUGUGAACAAGCACCUGAGCACAGUGCAGAACCAGAGAAAGAGAAUGCUUUGAAGCAGCAGAGAUACGUGGAGUUAGGAAAGGGACAGAAAGCCUUGUAUGCAUUUACAGCCUAAAGAAUGGUUUUGAUGAGGAAGACAGAGGACCUGACUCACCUCUGUUACCUUUACAUCAGCACGUGGUAUGUGCACAGCUCUGCCACCCUACUGAUGGAAAUGACUGCAUUAGGUGUAGGGCUGAGAGCUGCUCUGAGAGGUCAAGGACCUCUAGCACAGGUAAGAUUGUAGCACAUUGGAUGUUGAGCUGAUCCAAAGGACUCCCCGAUAAGCUGUAUCAUUGACUGGAAAGCAGGAACUGAGGUGUACUCGAUGUAAAGAAGAAUUAGCGGGUGAUUUUCAUAUGGUAGCUGUAGUAAACAGCAGCCAAACUACAGUUCAGAGACCACAAUCAUUAAAGCAAUAUGAAACUGGUUUGUGUUGGCAUUUCCACAGUCUCUGCAUUGUGUAGCUUUUGUAGCUCACCUGCAUGUGAAUUUUCUUAGCUUUUAAAAUAGCUUCAACCUCAAGAACUGCAGCACCUGUUAGUUAUCAAAAGAGGGCAUGUGGCCAUAAACAUAAAGCAAGAACUAAAUGUGGUUAUAAAGAAGCCAGACCAAUAAUAACUAAUGAGAUAGUCUUAAUAGAAGCAGUAUUUAUUUCCUUUUGUAGGCACGCACAUUUGACGCACCACCCAUUGCUGGGGUGUCUCCUUGAACGUGCUUUUUUCUACACCAUAGACUGGUAUUUUCUACAGAACGAACACAAAGAUCGUCUGGUGAAAUCCUUUCCUCCCAUUUACAGUUGCACACCGUCCAGGUAUUGCUCUUCAGGUGGCAGCCUAAAGGUGUGCAGCUCUCUGGUACCUGCCUCCUUUUCUUUUAGCUACACGACUCCUUUCUCAUGCAGACGCUGCGGUGAUUCUUACAUCACCUGGUUACUUUGCCCUUUUCUUUCACUCUUCUGAAUGUUUUCUUUUCUUGGCUAUCUCUGACUUCUGUUUCCUCUGCACCUUCUGUUAGGCCUCUAGCAGAAGCAAUAAGACUAAUCUUUCCUAAUUCCCAGCUGGUUUGUAGGUCUUUUGCUUUGUCUUCUCACGAAAGCGCCUGCAUGCCAGCUGUAGCAACAGCUGAAAACAAGGAAAAAUCAUCACUCUCUGACUGCCUUAUUUCUCUGUGGAUGAUGGAGAAGUUCUGGUUGGGCUGUAAGCGAUCAAUGAUCUGCAGUUUGAGAAUUUUCCAGGCCCUGAAGUAUUUCUUAGAUAACAUUUCACUGUGAGAAGUGUAAGGUUGCAUUCACAAUUGGUAUUUCUUUCUUGCUUUAAGGGAGAGGGGGGAUGCACUCAGGUGUGCGAGAGGAACAAUUCUGAUUCUGUAGAAAGGGCAGACGCAGGGCCUGAUUAUGGCAGCAGUGUCAUUACUGCAUGUGAACGUGAUUUGCAAAUGUAACACAAUGUGACCACGAGUGUGGUUCAUUGGUACAGAUCAGUUUCAUGAUUCAGGUCUGCUGACAGCAAUACGGCAGUUCUGGUGAACCAAGUUGCAGGCUGUUCUUUACUUUUUAAUGCUUCCUGCUGUCCUUGAAUCCUUUACAGAACAUCUUUUAGAUUAAUCAGAGGCUGCUUUGUCUUCAUGUCUUCCUGUGCUUUUUGAUGAUCUCCUGAUCUCAAAUAAGCUGUUGAACACUACAUAAUUGUCUUAGAACGCGACCAAAUGGAAGUAAAGUACAAUGUGUGCUUUUCUCCCCUUUCCAGCAUUAGUCCGUGUUUGCGUCUAAGGUAGAGUUUUAGGAGUCUAGACUGAGUGUAUUCCUUACACUCUACAAGACCAAAACAAAUACGUAUGUGCAUAAACAGGCACGUGUGGGUAAAAACUGAUGACUGAAAAUGUGAUUGCUGGACUCUGCAAUGAAAUGUUGGGUGCAAUGCUUGUGGGGAGAAGACUCAGUCCUGUGGUGGUUGAAGCCUGCAGUCUGUCUUGCUUUCAGCGUCUAGGCUCCAGUUCACUGAAAAAAUUUAAGACUUUAUUUAUCCACAUUUAUGAUGUGAAUGUUUCUUGUGCUAAAGUAAUGCUAGUGCUUGAAUGCUUUUCUAACUGGUAUGCAAGGUAGGGAGUGAAGUAAGAUUAAGUGAGUUUCUCAGAGUGAGUUGCACUGUGUGCUAUCCUGGCCAUCCUGCUUGCAGUUUUCACCUCCCAGCUAAACCUUUUAAUGGAAACAGUUUCCAGCAGCUUAAUCGUGUAAACUGAUUUAUGGGGAUAAAUAAAAAAAAUAACUAGAUUCAGAUUUAGAUCAAGUAAAUACUGAAGGCUUCCACAAGGGCUAUGCUACCUUAAUACUGAGAGAGUUUUUCUUAACUGCCUCUUCCUUAAAGAGCAAUAACUCUUUGUGUAGACAAUGAAUUUUUCCUUCAAGGCAAUUCUGUUAUUUCCUUCCCAGGUCAGUUGUCUGAGGACACAACAGAUCCGAGUGUCCCACUGGAUAUGUACCAUCUUAAAGGCUCACUGUGAAAUCUGUUGAGCUGGGGAAGCUCAAUGAGUUCAUCUGGCACUCCUUCCUAACAGCCUGUCUGUCACUUGCUGGUGACCAAGAGAGCUUGGAAAUGCCAUCUGUGAGAGGGCUUAUGCCCCACCUUGGAUGGAAAGUGCUGAGCUUGUCCCUCCAUGAGAAGGUGUUCCCCAAGGACCUACUCUGAAAUCUGUAAUGCUAUGGACGCUAAAUUGGGUCAAAUGUUUGUGCUUCUUCCCAGUGUUUUAACUCACUGCCAUUUUCUUGCUUUUAGAGAAGCAGUUAGAAAAAAACUACCCCUUUUUUUAUGUGUGUGUGUGUAUGAGUGCUCUCCAAAGUAAUGGUGGUGGCACUGGUGUACUUACGUGGCACCAGAAAAUCAUGAUAAUCCUUUCAGUACAGGAUAAUUAUUUGGCUUUACUGCUGUAUCCCUUGUAGCUGGAUAUCCAUUUUCCUUUGCUAACAUAUGCUUGUCCUGUUCAAUAGCAAUUUGUUCUGAAAAUGCUUGCAUGCCUGCUGGGCAAGCUACAUGAAUCCAGUGCAGACUCCUUUUUUGCACCUAAAAAUUAUUAUGUGGAAAACCAUUUGCAAAAUGUGAGGCAUUCAGAAGGCUGCGUGCAGUUUUUCCAGGAGAAGCCGAGGGACAUUGGAAAAUCUAGACUUUAAUUUGUAGGGUACAAUAAAUUGUAGUCAGAUGAAUAAGUCCGUAUCUGCCUCAGCACAUUCUGGAUUACUUCGGUAUUACACAAACAAACUAAUUGCACAGCCUGCAGAAUAAUCACAUCUGUUCACCCGUAACAACACAGCUCAAUCUCGGUUUCAUGGCUUAAAAUAAUGCUCCUUGCUUUCAUAUGCUUCCUCAUAUUACCAGCUGCAAGUCUCUCUGAACCAGCAUGGCUCCUGAGGUAAUUGGUAGUAACACUUGUGUAUAAAGAUGUCAAAGCGCUGCUUGUUGGAGCUCAGCUUCAGGAAAGUGGAACUCUCUGCUUCGAUUCUUAGCUCUUUCACUAACUUGGCUAAGUCCAAAAAGGAAGGAAAACCAAACGAGAGCAGGUGGCACCACAGCCAGCCUGAGAGCCAACCUAAAGUAGUUUUUUUAAGGUAUUUUGAGAUCCUCGUGUUAGCAGCUCGUGCUUGUAAGGUGUGGGCAGAGCAGUGCUUGACAACGUGGGCAGGCUUGUCUGCAAGCAAGGGACUCCCACAUCAGAAAACGGAGGAUGUUUUGCUUUUAGUCUUCAUUGAGAUGGGAGGUGGGAAAUAAAUAAAGAGCUGAUACAGCAUCAGUAUGAGAAGCUUUUCUUGCUGGGUAGCUGACAGGUGCCCCAGAGGCUGGGCUGGAAGCACUGUUCCCAGGCACAGGUCUCAUCUGCUCAUUAGCAAUGACAGAAGCACCGAGCCGUGUCAUGCAGGGCAGUGUACCGGGCAGGGCCUCCUGCUCUGUAUGCUCAAACUUAACACUGCAUUGUCGUCCAGAGGACUCGGUGGAGGCGCAGCCAGCAGUCUCCUGGAGGGCUGUGGCUGUGGCUAUGAUGGUCGGCCUUGGGAUGACCAAAGAGACCAUCACUGCGUGUUCUCACGUUGCGCGGGUAGGAGCAGGACGAGUCAUUUCUUGAGGCUAGACAGGUGAGAGUGGCCAGGAUUUGUUUCCUAACGUCCGUCGUGCAGGUCAGAUGGGUCGGAACGCCUCCCCCAUCACGCUAAACCUCAUCUCGCCCAACCGAGACCUCAGUCCCACUCCCCCGCGUCCGGCCCUGCGGAGGUUCUCCGGCUGCCGCCGGUGCCACCCGCUCGGCCCCGGGCCGGCUGCGUGCCGUUGGCACCUCAGCGGGCAGGGCACCGCCGGCAGCCGCGCUUUGCUGACUGCUCCGUUUCAUUUCCUUACUUCGCAACUUGUAGCAGUAAGUUUCUGAAGAGAAACCCGUCUCCAAACCCAGCCACGCGCACCCGUCUGCGCGUCUGUUUUACACCCGAACGGCUCGGAGACGGCCCUCCUGCCCUGCCGCCCUGCCCCCGAGGCCGCGGGGUCCCGCCGAGCCCUUUGUCCCCGCGCCGCUCGGAUGGAUGCUGUCACGCUCGCGCGGCUGCCAUGAUCCCGCCCGGCGCGUCCCCG
Molecule: long non-coding RNA, 4732 nt
Organism: Gallus gallus (chicken)
Lineage: Eukaryota; Metazoa; Chordata; Aves; Galliformes; Phasianidae
Source: Ensembl